CCCCAAGGACGAAGCCAUGCAUGCCCGCUCACCCGGGACGCGGCGGACGGCUCAGGACAACGGUUGCACCCCCCGCGGCGGUCCCUGCUAGCCGGACACCGCUGGCAACCCGGCGCCAAGACGUG
RNAcentral lists this ribosomal RNA (125 nucleotides) under Giardia duodenalis. Its description in RNAcentral is "Giardia intestinalis partial small subunit ribosomal RNA". The record is from RNAcentral. Lineage: Eukaryota; Fornicata; Diplomonadida; Hexamitidae.